Molecule: small nucleolar RNA, 82 nt
Filed under: Citrus sinensis (sweet orange)
Lineage: Eukaryota; Viridiplantae; Streptophyta; Magnoliopsida; Sapindales; Rutaceae
Description: Small nucleolar RNA snoR109
Rfam family: Small nucleolar RNA snoR109
Source: Rfam by way of RNAcentral
CGGCUAGCCUGUUAAAUUUAGAGGCUGGCCGUUUUGUGUUUUGGUGCUCUCUGGACAUUUAAACAGCUAGCCUCUUAAAUUU